UCUGAGAAUCGGGUUGCAGGAGGUGAGGGAAUUAAUAUAUGUGGCACAUGUUUCAUCUGGGAGAAGAAAGGGGAGCCAUGGCGGAGAAGGAGAAGGAGAAGGCUGGUGGCGAGAGGUGGAAGGCAGCUAUUGUCAAUCUAUCAGAGAUGAGUGCGAACUUAGACUCCCUGCAGAAGAUCCUGGCAAAGAAGGCCGUGUUCGUCGACGAUGACACCUUCUCCAAGGCUUCCCUUAUUGCCGAACAGGCCAGAAACAUCAAGGCUCUAGAACAGAGGGUAGGGACGUUGGAACGAGAAUUAGAUGCUUCAAUCGCAGCAGCAGCUCGUGCUCGUUCGGAGAAACGACAAGCUGAGGCAGCACAGCGAGCUGCUGAACUGCGUGCCCAGGAUGUUGCUAAAGAACUGGAGAACACUACAAAAGUGUUUGAGCUACAUAUGGAGGAGUUGCGUAGAAAGCAAGAGGAGAUUUCUAAGAAAGAUGGUGAAAUCAAAGUAUUGGAGGCUAUAAUACAAACACUCAGUAGAAAUGGCUCAACUGCCUCAGAAGAUUAAGCAGCAGAUAUGUUUAUCUGUUUUAGCUUGUGGAGCUGCCUUAGCAACCAUCAAGUGUCGCCGGAGGUUAUGCUAUGCUGUUAAACCAGAUGGAGAGCUUCAUCAAGCUCGAAUAUUCAUCAUGGGCAUCCAAGCUUCAGGAAUAUGAGCAAAUCUACCCUCUGUGAAUUUGUUUCUUUAGGUUGCUAUUCACAGCAUAAUCAUAAAAAAAGAUAUGCUACUCUUUGUAACCCAAAUUGGACAAUCUAUUUUUAAUAUAUAAGCCUGAAACAUAAUUGAUGUUAUCAA
RNA transcript from Dendrobium catenatum, 839 nucleotides. RefSeq lists it as uncharacterized. NCBI's taxonomy places the organism in Eukaryota, Viridiplantae, Streptophyta, Magnoliopsida, Asparagales, Orchidaceae. The record is from RefSeq and is a predicted model, not a curated record. The transcript has 4 exons.